Molecule: ribosomal RNA, 433 nt
Filed under: uncultured bacterium
Lineage: Bacteria
Description: partial 16S ribosomal RNA
Rfam family: Bacterial small subunit ribosomal RNA
Source: RNAcentral
AACGAACGCUGGCGGCAGGCCUAACACAUGCAAGUCGAGCGCGCCCUUCGGGGUGAGCGGCGGACGGGUGAGUAACGCGUGGGAACGUGCCCUUUUCUACGGAAUAGCCUCGGGAAACUGAGAGUAAUACCGUAUACGCCCUUUGGGGGAAAGAUUUAUCGGAAAAGGAUCGGCCCGCGUUGGAUUAGGUAGUUGGUGGGGUAAUGGCCUACCAAGCCGACGAUCCAUAGCUGGUUUGAGAGGAUGAUCAGCCACACUGGGACUGAGACACGGCCCAGACUCCUACGGGAGGCAGCAGUGGGGAAUCUUAGACAAUGGGGGCAACCCUGAUCUAGCCAUGCCGCGUGAGUGAUGAAGGCCUUAGGGUUGUAAAGCUCUUUCAGCUGUGAAGAUAAUGACGGUACCAGCAGAAGAAGCCCCGGCUAACUCCGUG